GUUGCUUGAUGAACCAUU
Molecule: small nuclear RNA, 18 nt
Filed under: Arabidopsis thaliana (thale cress)
Lineage: Eukaryota; Viridiplantae; Streptophyta; Magnoliopsida; Brassicales; Brassicaceae
Description: snRNA_17334
Source: RNAcentral